AGUGAACGCUGGCGGUAGGCCUAACACAUGCAAGUCGAACGGCAGCACAGUAAGAGCUUGCUCUUACGGGUGGCGAGUGGCGGACGGGUGAGGAAUACAUCGGAAUCUACUUUUUCGUGGGGGAUAACGUAGGGAAACUUACGCUAAUACCGCAUACGACCUACGGGUGAAAGCAUGGGAUCUUCGGACCUUGCGCGUUUGAAUGAGCCGAUGUCGGAUUAGCUAGUUGGCGGGGUAAAGGCCCACCAAGGCGACGAUCCGUAGCUGGUCUGAGGGGAUGAUGGGCCACAAUGGAAGGGAGAAACGGUCCAGACGACUACGGGGGGGCGCAGUGGGGGAGAAUAGGACAAGGGGGGAAACCUGGUGCAGCCGUGACGCGUGGGGGGAGAAGGACUUCGGGGUGUAAAGACCCUUUUGUGGGAAAGAAAAGCAGCAGGUUAAUACCCCGCUGUUCUGACGGUACCCAAAGAAUAAGCACCGGCUAACUUCGUG
RNAcentral lists this ribosomal RNA (492 nucleotides) under uncultured bacterium. Its description in RNAcentral is "partial 16S ribosomal RNA". It matches the Rfam family "Bacterial small subunit ribosomal RNA", at positions 30 to 507 of the family's 1533-position model. The record is from RNAcentral.